RNAcentral lists this ribosomal RNA (468 nucleotides) under uncultured bacterium. RNAcentral describes it as "partial 16S ribosomal RNA". It matches the Rfam family "Bacterial small subunit ribosomal RNA", at positions 28 to 507 of the family's 1533-position model. The record is from RNAcentral.
GACGAACGCUGGCGGCGUGCUUAACACAUGCAAGUCGAACGGAAAGGCCCUGCUUUUGUGGGGUGCUCGAGUGGCGAACGGGUGAGUAACACGUGAGUAACCUGCCCUUGACUUUGGGAUAACUUAAGGAAACUGGGGCUAAUACCGGAUAGGAGCUCCUGCUGCAUGGUGGGGGUUGGAAAUUUUCGGCGGUUGGGGAUGGACUCGCGGCUUAUCAGCUUGUUGGUGGGGUAGUGGCUUACCAAGGCUUUGACGGGUAGCCGGCCUGAGAGGGUGACCGGCCACAUUGGGACUGAGAUAAGGCACAGACUGCUACGGGUGGCAGCAGUGGGGAAUAUUGCACAAGGGGCGGAAGCCUGAUGCAGCAACGCCGCGUGCGGGAUGACGGCCUUCGGGGUGUAAACCGCUUUCGCCUGUGACGAAGCGUGAGUGACGGUAAUGGGUAAAGAAGCACCGGCUAACUACGUG